AAUCUUGGACAAUGGGCGCAAGCCUGAUCCAGCCAUGCCGCGUGAGUCGAUGAAGGCCCUAGGGUCGUAAAGCUCUUUCGCCAGGGAUGAUAAUGACAGUACCUGGUAAAGAAACCCCGGCUAACUCCGUGCCAGCAGCCGCGGUAAUACGGAGGGGGUUUAGCGUUGUUCGGAAUUACUGGGCGUAAAGCGCGCGUAGGCGGACUGGAAAGUUGGGGGUGAAAUCCCGGGGCUCAACCCCGGAACUGCCUCCAAAACUCCCAGUCUUGAGUUCGAGAGAGGUGAGUGGAAUUCCGAGUGUAGAGGUGAAAUUCGUAGAUAUUCGGAGGAACACCAGUGGCGAAGGCGGCUCACUGGCUCGAUACUGACGCUGAGGUGCGAAAGUGUGGGGAGCAAACAGGAUUAGAUACCCCUGGUAG
RNAcentral lists this ribosomal RNA (419 nucleotides) under uncultured bacterium. Its description in RNAcentral is "bacterial SSU rRNA". It matches the Rfam family "Bacterial small subunit ribosomal RNA", at positions 360 to 793 of the family's 1533-position model. The record is from RNAcentral.